This is a long non-coding RNA of Mauremys reevesii (Reeves's turtle), 533 nucleotides long. RefSeq lists it as uncharacterized. The transcript is spliced from 5 exons. The record is from RefSeq and is a predicted model, not a curated record. NCBI's taxonomy places the organism in Eukaryota, Metazoa, Chordata, Testudines, Geoemydidae.
CUGUGCCAUCAGAAAACUUCUCCCCAAGCAGCAACAUAAAACAGAAUUUUAUAACUUGGUGGAAGAAGCAAUUACAAUCUGAAUUGUAAAAAUACAGAUUUUUGACAAGAAGACCAGACUUCCUCUUUUUGAGUGCUCCGGUGUUAAACGUGAGGGAUGAUAUAGGAACAAAUGAAAGAUUCCCUUUCUUCCCUGACACCAUGGCACAUGUAAAGCAAUUUACUCCACUCAACCACAUUCUCUAAUGGCACAGAACAUGGAUGUAUACAACAGCCCAAAAUAUCAGACAGAGUCCUUUCCACUUAUGUAUUGUAAGAAGACUGAAGAUGGCUUAAACUAGGCUAUAGCACAAUGAAACCCACAGAUGCCACGUCCAUGCAAGCAACUGUGGUGGCGACCAGGCAAAGAUAUGUCUAGCCAGUAAAGAUUUAUCCUCCUGAGUUUCAUUUAAAAUUGGUAGAUGUUGGUCAUGCAGCUCCCAGUGGAUUAUUUCAGUCUCUGUUGGAAAUACAAUUGGAGAGAAGUAAAGCAUC